This 254-nucleotide ribosomal RNA is filed under the name uncultured bacterium. RNAcentral's name for it is "partial 16S ribosomal RNA". It matches the Rfam family "Bacterial small subunit ribosomal RNA", at positions 524 to 776 of the family's 1533-position model. The record is from RNAcentral.
UACAGGGGGGUGCAAACGUUGCUCGGAAUCAUUGGGCGUAAAGCGCACGUAGGCGGUUCGUUAUGUCGGAUGUGAAAGCCCUUGGCUUAACCGAGGAAGUGCAUCCGAAACUGGCGAGCUAGAGUACGAAAGAGGAUCGCGGAAUUCCCGGUGUAGAGGUGAAAUUCGUAGAUAUCGGGAGGAACACCGGUGGCGAAGGCGGCGAUCUGGGUCGAUACUGACGCUGAGGAGCGAAAGCGUGGGGAGCGAACAGG